GACGAACGCUGGCGGCGUGCCUAAUACAUGCAAGUAGAACGCUGAAGAGAAGAGCUUGCUCUUCUUGGAUGAGUUGCGAACGGGUGAGUAACGCGUACGUAACCUGCCUGGUAGCGGGGGAUAACUAUUGGAAACGAUAGCUAAUACCGCAUAAAAUUGAUUAUUGCAUGAUAAUUAAUUGAAAGAUGCAAUUGCAUCACUACCAGAUGGACCUGCGUUGUAUUAGCUAGUUGGUGAGGUAACGGCUCACCAAGGCGCCGAUACAUAGCCGACCUGAGAGGGUGAUCGGCCACACUGGGACUGAGACACGGCCCAGGCUCCUACGGGAGGCAGCAGUAGGGAAUCUUCGGCAAUGGGGGGAACCCUGACCGAGCAACGCCGCGUGAGUGAAGAAGGUUUUCGGAUCGUAAAGCUCUGUUGUAAGAGAAGAACGGGUGUGAGAGUGGAAAGUUCACACUGUGACGGUAUCUUACCAGAAAGGGACGGCUAACUACGUGCCAGCAGCCGCGGUAAUACGUAGGUCCCGAGCGUUGUCCGGAUUUAUUGGGCGUAAAGCGAGCGCAGGCGGUUAGAUAAGUCUGAAGUUAAAGGCUGUGGCUUAACCAUAGUAUGCUUUGGAAACUGUUUAACUUGAGUGCAGAAGGGGAGAGUGGAAUUCCAUGUGUAGCGGUGAAAUGCGUAGAUAUAUGGAGGAACACCGGUGGCGAAAGCGGCUCUCUGGUCUGUAACUGACGCUGAGGCUCGAAAGCGUGGGGAGCAAACAGGAUUAGAUACCCUGGUAGUCCACGCCGUAAACGAUGAGUGCUAGGUGUUAGGCCCUUUCCGGGGCUUAGUGCCGCAGCUAACGCAUUAAGCACUCCGCCUGGGGAGUACGACCGCAAGGUUGAAACUCAAAGGAAUUGACGGGGGCCCGCACAAGCGGUGGAGCAUGUGGUUUAAUUCGAAGCAACGCGAAGAACCUUACCAGGUCUUGACAUCCCUCUGACCGCUCUAGAGAUAGAGUUUUCCUUCGGGACAGAGGUGACAGGUGGUGCAUGGUUGUCGUCAGCUCGUGUCGUGAGAUGUUGGGUUAAGUCCCGCAACGAGCGCAACCCCUAUUGUUAGUUGCCAUCAUUCAGUUGGGCACUCUAGCGAGACUGCCGGUAAUAAACCGGAGGAAGGUGGGGAUGACGUCAAAUCAUCAUGCCCCUUAUGACCUGGGCUACACACGUGCUACAAUGGCUGGUACAACGAGUCGCAAGCCGGUGACGGCAAGCUAAUCUCUGAAAGCCAGUCUCAGUUCGGAUUGUAGGCUGCAACUCGCCUACAUGAAGUCGGAAUCGCUAGUAAUCGCGGAUCAGCACGCCGCGGUGAAUACGUUCCCGGGCCU
Molecule: ribosomal RNA, 1369 nt
Filed under: uncultured bacterium
Lineage: Bacteria
Description: bacterial SSU rRNA
Rfam family: Bacterial small subunit ribosomal RNA
Source: RNAcentral